UCGGAUGUGGUGUAAGCGCAACACUGUGGCUCUGAAUCAGCCAUUUUAAAAAUAACCGAAAGCCAUUAAUCCAGGUUCGAUUCCUGGCAUCCGAA
Non-coding RNA from Crucibulum laeve, 95 nucleotides. NCBI's taxonomy places the organism in Eukaryota, Fungi, Basidiomycota, Agaricomycetes, Agaricales, Nidulariaceae. The record is from the annotation of a GenBank genome assembly.